GCUGGGUAUGGUGGUGCACACCUGUAAUCCCAGCUACUGUGGAGGCUGAGGCAGGAGAAUUGAAAGUUUAAGGCCUAGUGAGACCUUGUCUCAA
RNAcentral lists this small RNA (94 nucleotides) under Marmota monax (woodchuck). The record is from RNAcentral. Lineage: Eukaryota; Metazoa; Chordata; Mammalia; Rodentia; Sciuridae.